Molecule: ribosomal RNA, 253 nt
Filed under: uncultured bacterium
Lineage: Bacteria
Description: partial 16S ribosomal RNA
Rfam family: Bacterial small subunit ribosomal RNA
Source: RNAcentral
UACGUAGGUGACAAGCGUUGUCCGGAAUUACUGGGCGUAAAGCGCACGCAGGCGGUCUUGUAAGUUUGACGUGAAAGCUCCCGGCUUAACUGGGAGAGGUCGUUGAAGACUGCAAGACUUGAGGAAAUGAGAGGGGUGUAGAAUUCCCGGUGUAGUGGUGGAAUGCGUAGAUAUCGGGGGGAAUACCAGUGGCGAAAGCGGCACCCUAGCAUUUUUCUGACGCUCAGGUGCGAAAGCGUGGGGAGCGAACGGG